Molecule: ribosomal RNA, 176 nt
Filed under: Fasciola hepatica (liver fluke)
Lineage: Eukaryota; Metazoa; Platyhelminthes; Trematoda; Plagiorchiida; Fasciolidae
Source: RNAcentral
GUGUAAUAUUUGAAAACAGCGGUUCUUGUCUGAUUACCGAAGUUAAGCAACGUCGGGCCCGGUUAGUACUUGCAUGUGUGACCGACUGUGAAUGGCAUUCCGUUUUUGUUGCUGACGGUGGUCAAACUGUCAUCGCGAUGAGGCCCUGGGUUCAAAUUCUGUUGCUGCCGUCGGUC